UACAGAGGGUGCAAGCGUUGUUCGGAAUUACUGGGCGUAAAGGGCGCGUAGGCGGCUUACCAAGUCAGACGUGAAAGCCUGGGGCUCAACCCCAGAAGUGCGUUUGAAACUGGUAGGCUAGAGUGCAUUAGAGAAUGGCGGAAUUCCCAGUGGAGAGGUGAAAUUCGUAGAUAUUGGGAGGAACACCAGUGGCGAAGGCGACUACCUGGCCUGUUUCUUGACGCUGAGGCGCGAAAGCUAGGGGAGCAAACGGG
This 254-nucleotide ribosomal RNA is filed under the name uncultured bacterium. RNAcentral's name for it is "partial 16S ribosomal RNA". It matches the Rfam family "Bacterial small subunit ribosomal RNA", at positions 524 to 776 of the family's 1533-position model. The record is from RNAcentral.